ACACAAUAGAAAAAGUUAUAGGUAAUGGAAGUUUGGUGAAAAUCCAACGCGGUCCCGCCACUGUGAUAGAUCGAAUGUUCGAUCUUAAGUCAGGUCGUUUGCCUAGUAACUUUGUCUGGCCAGUCAUUUCGAGGCGAAAGUGACUGGUUUAC
This 152-nucleotide small RNA is filed under the name Paenibacillus uliginis. RNAcentral also lists the same sequence under 1 other name. The record is from RNAcentral. Lineage: Bacteria; Bacillati; Bacillota; Bacilli; Caryophanales; Paenibacillaceae.